AACGAUGAAACUUAAAUGAUUUCUUCGGAAUGAACUUAAGUGGAUUAGUGGCGGACGGGUGAGUAACGCGUGAGUAACCUGCCUUACACAAGGGGAUAGCCGUUGGAAACGACGAAUAAUACCCUAUGAUGUUUCUAUCUCGCAUGAGAUAUUAACCAAAGUGUUAGCGGUGUAAGAUGGACUUGCGUCUGAUUAGCUAGUUGGUGAGAAAAAAGCCCACCAAGGCAACGAUCAGUAGCCGGCUUGAGAGAGUGUACGGCCACAUUGGGACUGAGACACGGCCCAGACUCCUACGGGAGGCAGCAGUGGGGAAUUUUGCACAAUGGGGGAAACCCUGAUGCAGCGACGCCGCGUGAUUUAGAAGGCCUUCGGGUUGUAAAAAUCUUUUGUAUAGGAAGAAAAUGACAGUACUAUACGAAUAAGGUCCGGCUAAUUACGUGCCAGCAGCCGCGGUAAUACGUAAGGACCGAGCGUUGUCCGGAAUCAUUGGGCGUAAAGGGUACGUAGGCGGGUCAUUAAGUUAGAAGUCAAAGGCUAUAGCUCAACUAUAGUAAGCUUCUAAAACUGGCGACCUUGAGUAAUGGAAGAGAAAGUGGAAUUCCUAGUGUAGCGGUGGAAUGCGCAGAUAUUAGGAGGAAUACCGGUGGCGAAGGCGACUUUCUGGCCAUUAACUGACGCUGAGGUACGAAAGCGUGGGUAGCAAACAGGAUUAGAUACCCUGGU
This 723-nucleotide ribosomal RNA is filed under the name uncultured Anaerococcus sp. Its description in RNAcentral is "bacterial SSU rRNA". It matches the Rfam family "Bacterial small subunit ribosomal RNA", at positions 50 to 791 of the family's 1533-position model. Lineage: Bacteria; Bacillati; Bacillota; Tissierellia; Tissierellales; Peptoniphilaceae. The record is from RNAcentral.